UGUAAGUAAAUUAUAUAGGUAUGUCGAAAGCAGGGCCCCGAGAGCCGAUUCACGGCCCGGGACUGUUCAGCACUUCGGGCCCUACUAACCUUUCAAAAAAUGUUUGAUACACCAAAUAAUAAUUAUAUGUAAAAAUGUCUAAAAGUUUAUUUCCAUAGGUAAAAAACCUUACAAAAAUUUAAAAAAAAAACGAAAACAAAUUCAUUUUAUAUACGUAAGUGUGCAUACGAAUAAAAACAAACACAACAAAAAUUAAAUAAAAUCAUUUUUAUUGCAAUGGCGCUUUUCGCGAUUUGCGACUUGCAAAUAGUUCUAUAACGCGGUCAAAAUUGCACCAAGUCGGAUGUGCGACCCUGAUUCAUCGUCGAGCUUAAAUCGUUCUUUAUUCUAGCUAGGCAACUAAACGAACGUUCUGUUGAAGCAACUGUCACAGGUAUGGUGCAGAAUAGUCUUACAGCUAUAACAACAUUCGGAAACAAGGCUUCAAAUUUUAAAGAAUGUAUUUUAUUUAAAAGUUCUAGAGGUGGAAGUUUUUCAAUGCCAAAAUUUGCCUGGUAUAUUGCAUUUAAAUGCAGCAGUUCUUCCUGAAGUUGAGGGCCUAUAUCUUCAAGAAUCGACAAAGGUCCAAAGGAUGCAAAAUAAACUAGUGAUCUUCUGUACGGCAUUAAAUCGUGUAGAUAAUCCAACAAUAACGUUAUCUAGCAGUACGUGCGGCGCGUCUGGGUCCAUCCGGGCCCCCAGACCGACCGGGCCCCGGGAAUUAGUCCCGUCUGCCCCCCCCCUCUUGUCGGGCCUGGUCGAAAGUAUACAAUACCCUUACCCUUUGUGGGAUCCCUAAUACAUUUUUGGCAUGCAGGGCCGCAGGGGAACAUGACAGUCUAUGUCUCCGGCAACUGGACCGAAGGGUCUCGCAGCCACACCUGUCCAGAGCACCGACUGCUUUUCAUACCUGUGGCAGCUUGGACCACAGAAUCAUCCAGUGUCUGACUUCAAGCGUCAAUCUCCAUCCUUCAGGACUUGUGGAGUUUCCCUUUAUCUGGUUUGCACAGUCCCAGUGUGACCAUCAGCGACAUACGCCGUUCUCUUUGUGUCCAAUGCAGCACGAGUUGGGGGAAUUGAAGCAAGAUCGCUUAUCUUCUGAAGAUUUCUUGUUUUCGUGAAAAAUUAUCUUUGCUCUGAUUCUGUGCGGACACCAUACAGUUUUACUGUGAAUUUUUCCGCGUUCGCGUAUACUGUAGGAUUAAUUUCAGCUUGGGGGUUGAAAAUCACAUUAAAGGCGGUAACGCGGUAGUAAAAGUAUCAUUUUUUUGCAGUAAAGGCAAGCGUUCUGUGCGGGCAGCAUGGGACGAAUCCUUUACUAUUGCCUUUAAGGAAAUUUCCAACCUCAUGACUUUACAUAGGUACACUUAUACAUACUCUGUAUGUGGUUUAACAAGUGCAAAAUGUGCAAGAUGAAGGAACCAAUGAAUAAAGAACACACUGGGUAUAUACCUUAAGGCGGGUCUCCACCCAACUGGGCUAAGCCGGCGGCUUCUCCGCCCUUGCCGCCAACACAACAUGCCGCGGCUUGCUGCGAAUUUGACGCGGACUUAAAUUCAACUCCACCACACUGGGCAGAUGUAUCAGCUUGCAGAAAGUACUUAUUCUUCAUCCGAGAUUGUUUGACUACGACGAAAUUUUUUUGUUAAGGUCCUAAAAAUUGUUAUCAAGCAACAAAUAAGAGGAAGCACAUGUUUUAGGUACGGCCUCGGGCCUAGUUUAAACAAAAAUCUUCGUUGUGAAAAACAAAAUACAAACUCAAAUUUCAGAGAAAAGCAAACAAAAGACAAAUAUACCACGUAAACAACGUGAACGUACCGUUUGACACAAAUACGCAAAACUGACUGAAAACACACGUUUGCACUUGUUCAGAUAAGGCUCUCUAAAUGUGAGUAAGCUCGGUCGCCAUAUUGGACCCAGCCAAUGGAGGGAGUUGCCUUGUCAGCUGGUGAAUGUUUACUAAACGUUGCUCUGUUUUUAUAAAUUUUCAUGGUUGUAUUGCCAUUUUCGUUCUUUCGGAGUAUAAAUAUUGCUUGUGUAGUGCCGAAUUGGUGUAGUUAUAUAUCAACGUGCGGUAGGAAGACGAAUUAAUAAGUAUUUACUUCAAUUCUGUUACAUUAAUUUAAUAAGAUUAUCAAGAAAGCAUUUUAAAAAUGCCCUGCUGUGCAGCUCCAAAUUGCAGUAACCGAUCUGAGAAACGGUAUACAGUCUAUACCGAAUCCCAGCAGAUGAGCCUCGGCGGUCGAAGUGGGUGCAAAACAUGAGACGAGAUCGAGGACCUGAUAAAUGGCAACCAACUACAGGUUCACGUAUUUGUGAGGUACAUUUUGAAGAGGAUCAGUUUGAGACCUGCCGAAAGGACAAAUUGAAGAAACUGAAACCCAAUGCAGUGCCCACAUUAUUCGAUGUGCCAAAUCCUCCCCCAAGGAUUACUCCUUUACCUAGGAAAUCAUUGUACAAGGA
Long non-coding RNA from Photinus pyralis (common eastern firefly), 2502 nucleotides. RefSeq lists it as uncharacterized. Lineage: Eukaryota; Metazoa; Arthropoda; Insecta; Coleoptera; Lampyridae. The record is from RefSeq and is a predicted model, not a curated record. The transcript is spliced from 4 exons.